Molecule: ribosomal RNA, 253 nt
Filed under: uncultured bacterium
Lineage: Bacteria
Description: partial 16S ribosomal RNA
Rfam family: Bacterial small subunit ribosomal RNA
Source: RNAcentral
UACGAAGGGGGCUAGCGUUGCUCGGAAUCACUGGGCGUAAAGCGCACGCAGGCGGACUGUUAAGUCCGGGGUGAAAUCCUGGAGCUCAACUCCAGAACUGCCUUUGAUACUGGCGAUCUUGAGUCCGGGAGAGGUGAGUGGAACUGCGAGUGUAGAGGUGAAAUUCGUAGAUAUUCGCAAGAACACCAGUGGCGAAGGCGGCUCACUGGCCCGGUACUGACGCUGAGGUGCGAAAGCGUGGGGAGCAAACAGG